GGGCCCGCACAAGCGGUGGAGUAUGUGGUUUAAUUCGAUGCAACGCGAAGAACCUUACCAGGGUUUGACAUCCUGCGAAUCUCUUGGAAACGAGAGAGUGCCUUCGGGAACUCAGUGACAGGUGUUGCAUGGCUGUCGUCAGCUCGUGUCGUGAGAUGUUGGGUUAAGUCCCGUAACGAGCGCAACCCUUAUCCUUAGUUGCCAUCACGUUUGGGUGGGCACUCUAGGGAAACUGCCGGUGCUAAGCCGGAGGAAGGCGGGGAUGACGUCAAGUCCUCAUGGCCCUUACGGGUAGGGCUACACACGUGCUACAAUGGCAGUGACAAUGGGCUAAUCCCCAAAAGCUGUCUCAGUUCGGAUUGUCGGCUGCAACUCGCCGGCAAUG
This 385-nucleotide ribosomal RNA is filed under the name uncultured bacterium. RNAcentral describes it as "bacterial SSU rRNA". It matches the Rfam family "Bacterial small subunit ribosomal RNA", at positions 917 to 1323 of the family's 1533-position model. The record is from RNAcentral.